GCCGGGAUGGCGGAACUGGUAGACGCAGCGGACUCAAAAUCCGCCGGUGGUGACACUGUAAGGGUUCGACUCCCUUUCCCGGCACCA
RNAcentral lists this transfer RNA (87 nucleotides) under Azoarcus sp. RNAcentral describes it as "tRNA-Leu". It matches the Rfam family "tRNA". Rfam says of the family: Transfer RNA (tRNA) molecules are approximately 80 nucleotides in length. Their secondary structure includes four short double-helical elements and three loops (D, anti-codon, and T loops). Lineage: Bacteria; Pseudomonadati; Pseudomonadota; Betaproteobacteria; Rhodocyclales; Zoogloeaceae. The record is from RNAcentral.